GUUAACUGUCUCAAUUAUAAAAAUUGAAUUUAACUUUUAAGUGAAAAGGCUUAAAUAUACUGAGGGGACGAUAAGACCCUAUAAAGCUUUACAAUAAAUUAAUUAAAUUAUAAAUUAUAAGUUUAACUUAAUUUAAUUAGUAUUUGUUUCGUUGGGGAGACGAGAAUAUA
RNAcentral lists this ribosomal RNA (170 nucleotides) under Pleoticus muelleri. RNAcentral describes it as "partial large subunit ribosomal RNA". The record is from RNAcentral. Lineage: Eukaryota; Metazoa; Arthropoda; Malacostraca; Decapoda; Solenoceridae.